RNAcentral lists this transfer RNA (68 nucleotides) under Anaerolineae bacterium. Its description in RNAcentral is "tRNA-Gln". It matches the Rfam family "tRNA". From Rfam's summary of the family: Transfer RNA (tRNA) molecules are approximately 80 nucleotides in length. Their secondary structure includes four short double-helical elements and three loops (D, anti-codon, and T loops). The record is from RNAcentral. Lineage: Bacteria; Bacillati; Chloroflexota; Anaerolineae.
GGGGAUUCGUCCGGCGGCAGGGCGGCGGAUUCUGGAUCCGCCGGCCCAGGUUCGAAUCCUGGUCCUCA